UGCAGAGGGGGCAAGCGUUGUUCGGAAUUACUGGGCGUAAAGGGCGCGUAGGCGGCCUUCUAAGUCAGACGUGAAAUCCCCGGGCUCAACCCGGGAACUGCGUCUGAGACUGGAAGGCUUGAAUCCGGGAGAGGGAUGUGGAAUUCCAGGUGUAGCGGUGAAAUGCGUAGAUAUUCGGAAGAACACCAAUGGCGAAGGCAGCUCUCUGGGACGGUACUGACGCUGAGACGCGAAAGCGUGGGGAGCGAACAGG
RNAcentral lists this ribosomal RNA (253 nucleotides) under uncultured bacterium. Its description in RNAcentral is "partial 16S ribosomal RNA". It matches the Rfam family "Bacterial small subunit ribosomal RNA", at positions 524 to 776 of the family's 1533-position model. The record is from RNAcentral.